This 500-nucleotide ribosomal RNA is filed under the name uncultured bacterium. RNAcentral describes it as "partial 16S ribosomal RNA". It matches the Rfam family "Bacterial small subunit ribosomal RNA", at positions 30 to 523 of the family's 1533-position model. The record is from RNAcentral.
AUUGAACGCUGGCGGAAUGCUUUACACAUGCAAGUCGAACGGCAGCACGGACUUCGGUCUGGUGGCGAGUGGCGAACGGGUGAGUAAUGUAUCGGAACGUGCCCAGUCGUGGGGGAUAACGUAGUGAAAAUUACGCUAAUACCGCAUACGAUCUAUGGAUGAAAGCGGGGGAUCGCAAGACCUCGCGCGAUUGGAGCGGCCGAUAUCAGAUUAGGUAGUUGGUGGGGUAAAGGCCCACCAAGCCAACGAUCUGUAGCUGGUCUGAGAGGACGGCGAGCCACACUGGAACAGAGACACGGUCCAGACUCCUACGGGAGGCAGCAGUGGGGAAUUUUGGACAAUGGGCGAAAGCCUGAUCCAGCCAUUCCGCGUGCAGGAUGAAGGCCCUCGGGUUGUAAACUGCUUUUGUACAGAACGAAAAGGUUUCUACUAAUACUAGGAGCUCAUGACGGUACUGUAAGAAUAAGCACCGGCUAACUACGUGCCAGCAGCCGCCGUAA